CGAACGCACCUUCGGGUGAGUGGCGGACGGGUGAGUAACGCGUGGGAACGUGCCCUUUGGUUCGGAACAACACAGGGAAACUUGUGCUAAUACCGAAUGUGCCCUUCGGGGGAAAGAUUUAUCGCCAUUGGAGCGGCCCGCGUUGGAUUAGGUAGUUGGUGGGGUAAAGGCCCACCAAGCCUACGAUCCAUAGCUGGUCUGAGAGGAUGAUCAGCCACACUGGGACUGAGACACGGCCCAG
Molecule: ribosomal RNA, 241 nt
Filed under: uncultured bacterium
Lineage: Bacteria
Description: partial 16S ribosomal RNA
Rfam family: Bacterial small subunit ribosomal RNA
Source: RNAcentral